Pelobates cultripes (western spadefoot toad) is the source of this 437-nucleotide non-coding RNA. The record is from the annotation of a GenBank genome assembly. NCBI's taxonomy places the organism in Eukaryota, Metazoa, Chordata, Amphibia, Anura, Pelobatidae.
GUUUGUGUAUGUGUGUGUUAGUGUAUGUGUGUGUUAGUGUGUAUGUGUUUGUGUGUGUUAGUGUUUGUGUGUUAGUGUAUGUGUGUGUUAGUGUAUGUAUGUGUGUGUUUGUGUGUGUUAGUGUAUGUGUGUUAGUGUAUGUGUUUGUGUGUUAGUGUAUGUGUGUGUUAGUGUAUGUAUGUGUGUGUUUAUGUGUGUUAGUGUGUGUGUUUGUGUAUGUGUGUUAGUGUGUGUGUUUGUGUAUGUGUGUUAGUGUGUGUGUGUUAGUGUGUGUGUUUGUGUGUUAGUGUAUAUGUGUGUUAGUGUAUGUGUGUGUUAGUGUAUGUGUGUUUGUGUCAACAUGUCUGUGUGUGUGUCAGUAUGUCUGUGUGUGUGUGUGGGUCAGUAUAUAUGUGUGUGUAUAUCUGUGUGUGUCAGUAUGUGUAUGUGUCAGUAUG